GGGGCCGUAGUCUAGCCUGGCUAGGAUAGUGGCAACACCCUAAAGCCGGCCUGGGGCGCCGGUGAACCCGGGUUCAAAUCCCGGCGGCCCCACCA
This 95-nucleotide transfer RNA is filed under the name Vulcanisaeta sp. JCHS_4. RNAcentral describes it as "tRNA-Pro". It matches the Rfam family "tRNA". Rfam says of the family: Transfer RNA (tRNA) molecules are approximately 80 nucleotides in length. RNAcentral also lists the same sequence under 1 other name. The record is from RNAcentral. Lineage: Archaea; Thermoproteati; Thermoproteota; Thermoprotei; Thermoproteales; Thermoproteaceae.